Molecule: long non-coding RNA, 2256 nt
Organism: Panicum virgatum (switchgrass)
Lineage: Eukaryota; Viridiplantae; Streptophyta; Magnoliopsida; Poales; Poaceae
Exons: 10
Source: RefSeq, a predicted model, not a curated record
ACUAAAACCCGUUUUGGUUCUCACAGUCCUGUCUCACACGACUUGACUUCCGUGACUCUUCCUCCUCCAUUACGUUCUCCUGUGCCUCCUCCGUUCCCAUUCUAGAUUUGUGGUUUCUGCUGGGCUCGCCGGCGGCGACCACCUAAGAGCCAGCCCCACUGCUCACCAUUGGCGCAGGGGCCAUGGGAUUGGGGCGCUGCUCGUCGCCUCGCUGGGGGCGGAGGCGGAAGGGGCGGCUCGUGGUCAACACUUCACCGGCGACGUCGAGGAAGCCCAUGUGGGCAGGUAGCAGCGCAAGCAAGUCCUUGUGGGUACUAGGGUUUCGGCCUAAUUUUGUGCAAGUCCUUGAUUUAUGGUUCGAUUCGUCGAUGCGUGUUCUGAUUUUUGGUUCGAUUCGAGUCUAUUUUUUUCUGGGAUUGCAGGAGUGUAGUUGAGGAGUUGAGAAAGGGAGAACUCAGGUUGGUGGGUUGAUGAAAAACUUGCCAUCUAUUGCAGCACUGACAGCCGAGUGUGAUGUUGAGAUCAGAAAAGCUGCUCUAAAUACACUUGCAACUACCUACAAAAACCUUGUCCGUUGAAGGAAUGAAAGUCAUAUGCCAUGAGCUAACCCAGGCAGCUGAUCCUGAAAGCACGAUGCUUGAAGAUCUAAUUAAGGAAGCUGACAGAUUAGCUUCAUGCUUGGCAGUUAUGACGUUUCAGAUGAAACAUCUUGCUCAAACAGUGAAGGAGGGUACCCUAGACAACCUUAUUACGGAGUUAUUUCUUUGGCUUUUAGAUUAUAGAGUUCCUCUUAUGGAUGAUGGCAGUCAAUUACUCAAAGCGCUAAAUGUUUUAAUGCUUAAGAUCCUGGAUAAUGCUUAAAGAGCAUCCUCGUUUGUUGUGAUACAAGGCUUUUCCCUGAGGUUCAUUGAAGGUGUGAUAGGACUGACAGAAGUGGAAGCAUUCUUCCAGGCUAGUGAUUUUGGUGUCACACUAUGAUUGGGUACAAUAUAGUUUAUGCUUCUGUAAGCAGUUGUUGAUCUGGAAUUAUCUUGUGCUUUGCUUGUGCUGCAGGAACUGUAGUUGACCAUUUGUCAUCCUACUGAGUUUGAUUUCUACAUGUGUAGUCAUGUUGGUAUUCAAGAACAAGUUGGCCCAUCCAUUACCAUGUCCUUUAUGAUGAGAAUCAUUUUACUGCUGACGGCCUACAGUCACUGAUCAACAGUCUUUGCUACACAAAAUGAUUAAUGGAGGAACUAUUGAUACCUAGACUUGUUUGAAUUUUUCACGCAUGCGCCCUGAGGAGGAGAGCUGCGCAUCUUUGUAUUAAGAGAGGAAAAAGAAUGGUCCAAUUACAAAUCUCAGCACCACACCUUGGACCAGAGUGAGGGCUGUAGUGGUCUCAUAGGAACAAAACUACAGAAAAAAACACAUUGGAGGACCUGACCACAAAGCACCCCAUCUAACUAAGCCAAAGCGAGCGCCCUGUUUUCCAAGGCAGCAAGCCCUUUUGCUCCACUGAACUGCCAAAGCUGAGCUUCAUCCUUGUAGCUCUGCAGUGCUUGCUGCAAAUUUGGGGCUGCCCCCUCAAAUACACAUCCAUUCCUGUGUUUCCACAAAAUCCAAGCACCGAGAAUGCACAGCGAGUUGAAGCCUUUCUUAAGAUGCUUUGGAACUUUCUUCCAAGAUCUCCUCCACCAAUCUGCGAAGGAACUGAUCCUGUGGCUGGGCGUCAAGUGGGCUAACUCCAGCGGCUGUAGGACAGCGAACCAGAACUGUCGAGCAAAUACACAGGAGCAAAGGAUGUGCUGGACUGUUUCAUCAGCUUGGUCGCAUAGGGGGCAUUGUUUUGGAUGAGGAAGGCCCCCUUUCUGCAAACGAUCCGCUGUCCAACAGCGGUUUCUAAUUGCCAACCACACAAAGGUCUUGCACUUGCUAGGAGCCCAUGAUUUCCAAAGCCUCUUCCAAGGUUCAAAGGUGACCGAGCCAAUAAAUAUUCCUCCAUUCUAGUAAUGAUGUUGUUGUAUCUUUCUUGAAUUUGUGUAGGUGGUGGCAUCAAUGGACUGGCUAGAAAUCAAAAUCACCAAGUACAGAUGUCUAGUUUUUAUCGUCUGUAACAAUCGGUUGUAGGGCUUUUAUCGUCUAAUGACCAAUUUGUCAUUUUGUAAAGCCCGUUAACAAGUAUACAAAGGCCCAACUUCAGCUAACAGAUUCUCAACUUAAAUCCCGUUAAUGUUGUUUUUAUAAUGUUUUUGAAUAUCAUAACUUAUUUGUUUU